This 424-nucleotide ribosomal RNA is filed under the name uncultured bacterium. RNAcentral's name for it is "bacterial SSU rRNA". It matches the Rfam family "Bacterial small subunit ribosomal RNA", at positions 359 to 776 of the family's 1533-position model. The record is from RNAcentral.
GAAUUUUGGGCAAUGGGCGCAAGCCUGACCCAGCAACGCCGCGUGAAGGAUGAAAUCCCUCUGGGAUGUAAACUUCGAAAGUCGGGAAAGAAAUCGCCAUGGAGAAUACCUGUGGUGGAUGACGGUACCCGACGUAAGCCCCGGCUAACUACGUGCCAGCAGCGGCGGUAAUACGUAGGGGGCAAGCGUUGUUCGGGAUUACUGGGCGUAAAGGGCGCGUAGGCGGCAUGGCAAGUCGGGAGUGAAAGCCCGGGGCUCAACCCCGGAACGGCUUUCGAAACUGCCAAGCUAGAGUACGGAAGGGGCAACUGGAAUUCCCAGUGUAGCGGUGAAAUGCGUAGAUAUUGGGAAGAACACCGGAGGCGAAGGCGGGUUGCUGGGCCGAUACUGACGCUGAGGCGCGAAAGCCUGGGGAGCAAACGGG